UUUAAAUUUAAGCUAAGAAAUUAAAAUUACAUAUUCUCUAUUUGAGAGUGUUUGAUUCAUUCCUUUCUCUAUGUCUUCUCUUCCUUUUUAUAUUCCCUUGAUGAUUUUCUCGUGACAAACCGCUUGGAAAUUGCUUGAUUUCUUUAUAACUACCCACUUUCUUUAUGGUGGCUAACUUGUCGUGGAACUGCCGUCUCUAACUGCUGCCAUUACUCUUUG
RNAcentral lists this long non-coding RNA (219 nucleotides) under Olea europaea (common olive). RNAcentral describes it as "long non-coding RNA (OEUR_LNC007032)". Lineage: Eukaryota; Viridiplantae; Streptophyta; Magnoliopsida; Lamiales; Oleaceae. The record is from RNAcentral.